Long non-coding RNA from Amblyraja radiata (thorny skate), 91 nucleotides. RefSeq lists it as uncharacterized. The transcript has 3 exons. Lineage: Eukaryota; Metazoa; Chordata; Chondrichthyes; Rajiformes; Rajidae. The record is from RefSeq and is a predicted model, not a curated record.
CUCAGCCCGGUAGAGGUUAGCGUGCCAGACUACCGCCGCACCUCCCUCGUCAGCGGGUUUGAUAAUCACAUCUGGGUUGUUGCGGAGGGAG